Molecule: ribosomal RNA, 811 nt
Filed under: uncultured bacterium
Lineage: Bacteria
Description: bacterial SSU rRNA
Rfam family: Bacterial small subunit ribosomal RNA
Source: RNAcentral
UCGACGAUGAAUCUUCUAGCUUGCUAGAAGUGGAUUAGUGGCGCACGGGUGUAGUAAUGCAUAGGUUAUGUGCCCUUUAGUCUGGGAUAGCCACUGGAAACGGUGAUUAAUACUGGAUACUCCCUACGGGGGAAAGUUUUUCGCUAAAGGAUCAGCCUAUGUCCUAUCAGCUUGUUGGUGAGGUAAUGGCUCACCAAGGCUAUGACGGGUAUCCGGCCUGAGAGGGUGAUCGGACACACUGGAACUGAGACACGGUCCAGACUCCUACGGGAGGCAGCAGUAGGGAAUAUUGCUCAAUGGGGGAAACCCUGAAGCAGCAACGCCGCGUGGAGGAUGAAGGUUUUAGGAUUGUAAACUCCUUUUGUUAGAGAAGAUUAUGACGGUAUCUAACGAAUAAGCACCGGCUAACUCCGUGCCAGCAGCCGCGGUAAUACGGAGGGUGCAAGCGUUACUCGGAAUCACUGGGCGUAAAGAGUGCGUAGGCGGGGUAAUAAGUCAGAUGUGAAAUCCUGUAGCUUAACUACAGAACUGCAUUUGAAACUGUUACUCUGGAGUGUGGGAGAGGUAGGUGGAAUUCUUGGUGUAGGGGUAAAAUCCGUAGAGAUCAAGAGGAAUACUCAUUGCGAAGGCGACCUGCUGGAACAUUACUGACGCUGAUGCACGAAAGCGUGGGGAGCAAACAGGAUUAGAUACCCUGGUAGUCCACGCCCUAAACGAUGGAUGCUAGUUGUUGCCUUGCUUGUCAGGGCAGUAAUGCAGCUAACGCAUUAAGCAUCCCGCCUGGGGAGUACGGUCGCAAGAUUAAAACUCA